UGUUAUUAUAAAGGCUUGGAUUUACUCUCCUCUCAUUAGAUUGUGUUGUCUCUUCGAUCCAACAAGGAGGAGGAGGAGGAGUAGAAGGUUGAUCAGGAGGAGGAGGAGGAGGUGGAGCUGGACAGAAAAGGAGUUGGAGGGAAUGCCCUGGUGACAGUUCUCCCACUUUGUUUUUCCUCCUCGAAACGGACCAAGGCCAUGAUGUUCAAUCUCCUCCAUCGACCGGUGUCAUCAAAAGGGCUGCCAAUAUCCUGUCCUUCUUAAUUCGUAAGGCGAGGCACAACCCUGGCCUGCCAACGGCGCCGAUGGAGAUGGGGAUACCGAGCCCCCAAAGCCCGUCAGACCUCCCUCUUCUUAGUGAUCCCAAUUCCCAUAAUUGCCCGGGUCUGCUUGACGAGCCAUCUAGCGCAGCUGCGCUGAACGGGCCAAUUCAAUCACUGUUCUGAAUGAUGGAGAUCCAAAUGACCGGGCUCCACCCAUGGAGUGAAGAGGCAGUGCAUCCUUGCGGUCAAUCACAUGGAUUGUAUUGACCGGCAGGAGUCAAGUAGAGAACAAAAGUGGUUGAUUUGAUGAUGGGAGCCGCCCAAGUGGCACUCAUUUCAAUAAUAUCAUUCCCUGCGCCUCUCAAAGGUUAAGAGUCUAAUUGUAAACCCUG
This 655-nucleotide long non-coding RNA is filed under the name Gadus morhua (Atlantic cod). RNAcentral's name for it is "lncRNA (ENSGMOG00000028687.1)". The record is from RNAcentral. Lineage: Eukaryota; Metazoa; Chordata; Actinopteri; Gadiformes; Gadidae.